AGCGAACGCUGGCGGCAUGCCUAACACAUGCAAGUCGCACGGGCAGGGCAACCUGUCAGUGGCGGACGGGUGAGUAACGCGUAGGUAUCUAUCCUUGGGUGGGGGACAACGGUUGGAAACGACUGCUAAUACCGCAUGAUAACUGAGGUUUAAAGGCGCAAGUCGCCUGAGGAGGAGCCUGCGUACGAUUAGCUAGUUGGUGGGGUAAGGGCCUACCAAGGCUGUGACGUUAGCUGGUCUGAGAGGAUGAUCAGCCACAUUGGGACUGAGACACGGCCCAAACUCCUACGGGAGGCAGCAGUGGGGAAUAUUGGACAAUGGGCGAAAGCCUGAUCCAGCAAUGCCGCGUGUGUGAAGAAGGUCUUCGGAUUGUAAAGCAC
RNAcentral lists this ribosomal RNA (380 nucleotides) under uncultured bacterium. Its description in RNAcentral is "bacterial SSU rRNA". It matches the Rfam family "Bacterial small subunit ribosomal RNA", at positions 29 to 433 of the family's 1533-position model. The record is from RNAcentral.